CCGGCGACCGGCGGACGGGUGCGUAACGCGUAUGUAACCUACCUUUGACAGGGGGAUGACAUCGAGAAAUUGGUACUAAUACCCCAUAACAUCACCGGAGGCAUCUUCGGUGGUUGAAAACUCAGGUGGUCAGAGAUGGACAUGCGUUGUAUUAGCUAGUUGGUGAGGUAACGGCUCACCAAGGCGACGAUACAUAGGGGGACUGAGAGGUCAACCCCCCCACAUUGGUACUGAGACACGGACCAAACUCCUACGGAAGGCAGCAG
This 266-nucleotide ribosomal RNA is filed under the name uncultured bacterium. RNAcentral describes it as "partial 16S ribosomal RNA". It matches the Rfam family "Bacterial small subunit ribosomal RNA", at positions 88 to 354 of the family's 1533-position model. The record is from RNAcentral.